This is a long non-coding RNA of Mytilus californianus (California mussel), 425 nucleotides long. RefSeq lists it as uncharacterized. The record is from RefSeq and is a predicted model, not a curated record. The transcript has 2 exons. NCBI's taxonomy places the organism in Eukaryota, Metazoa, Mollusca, Bivalvia, Mytilida, Mytilidae.
AGAAGAUGUGGUAUGAGUGCCAAUGAGACAACUCUCCAUCCAAGUCAAAAUUUAUAAAAGUAAACCAUUAUAGGUCACAGUACGGUCUUCAACACGGACCCUUGGCUCACACCGAACAGUAAGCUAUAAAGGGCCCCAAAAAAUUACUAGUGUUAAACCAUUUAAACGGGAAAACCAACGGUCUAAUCUAUAUAAAAAACGAGAAACGAGAAACACUUAUGAACCACAUCAACAAACGACAACUACUGAACAUCAGAUUCCUGACUUAGGACAGGUGCAAAUAAAUGCAGCGGGUUUAAACGUUUUAAUGGUACCAAACCUUCACCCUUUUUCUGAAACAAUAGUGUAACAUCACAACAUAGAAAGACACACUAUAAAAUAUCAACUGAAAUAGCUUAACUCAAUCAAAGGACAUAUUAACACCU